AGGCAGCAGUGAGGAUAUUGGUCAAUGGACGCGAGUCUGAACCAGCCAAGUAGCGUGAAGGAUGACUGCCCUAUGGGUUGUAAACUUCUUUUAUAUGGGAAUAAAGUGGUCCACGUGUGGACUUUUGUAUGUACCAUAUGAAUAAGGAUCGGCUAACUCCGUGCCAGCAGCCGCGGUAAUACGGAGGAUCCGAGCGUUAUCCGGAUUUAUUGGGUUUAAAGGGAGCGUAGGCGGAUUGUUAAGUCAGUUGUGAAAGUUUGCGGCUCAACCGUAAAAUUGCAGUUGAUACUGGCAGUCUUGAGUGCAGUAGAGGUGGGCGGAAUUCGUGGUGUAGCGGUGAAAUGCUUAGAUAUCACGA
RNAcentral lists this ribosomal RNA (358 nucleotides) under uncultured Bacteroides sp. RNAcentral describes it as "bacterial SSU rRNA". It matches the Rfam family "Bacterial small subunit ribosomal RNA", at positions 346 to 702 of the family's 1533-position model. The record is from RNAcentral. Lineage: Bacteria; Pseudomonadati; Bacteroidota; Bacteroidia; Bacteroidales; Bacteroidaceae.